UACGUAGGUGGCAAGCGUUACUCGGAAUCACUAGGCGUAAAGCGCAGGUAGGAGGUUUGGUAAGUCUGUUGUGAAAGCUCCCGGCUUAACUGGGAGAGGUCAACGGAAACUACUAGGCUAGAGUGCGGUAGAGGUAGCUGGAAUUCCCGGUGUAGCGGUGAAAUGCGUAGAUAUCGGGAGGAAUACCUAUGGCGAAAGCAGGCUACUGGACCGUCACUGACGCUGAGCUGCGAAAGCUAGGGGAGCAAACAGG
RNAcentral lists this ribosomal RNA (253 nucleotides) under uncultured bacterium. Its description in RNAcentral is "partial 16S ribosomal RNA". It matches the Rfam family "Bacterial small subunit ribosomal RNA", at positions 524 to 776 of the family's 1533-position model. The record is from RNAcentral.